RNAcentral lists this ribosomal RNA (500 nucleotides) under uncultured Glomeromycotina. Its description in RNAcentral is "partial small subunit ribosomal RNA". It matches the Rfam family "Eukaryotic small subunit ribosomal RNA", at positions 591 to 1092 of the family's 1831-position model. Lineage: Eukaryota; Fungi; Glomeromycota. The record is from RNAcentral.
CCAAUAGCGUAUAUUAAAGUUGUUGCAGUUAAAAAGCUCGUAGUUGAAUUUCGGGAUCAAUACGUCGGUCGUGCCUUUGGUACGUACUAAUGUCAUUGAUUUCUCCUUUCUGAUGAAUCAUGAUGUCAUUAAUUUGAUGUUGUGGGGAGUCAGGACUGUUACUUUGAAAAAAUUAGAGUGUUUAAAGCAGGCACGCGCUUGAAUACAUUAGCAUGGAAUAAUGAAAUAGGACGUUCGAUUCUAUUUUGUUGGUUUCUAGGAUCAACGUAAUGAUUAAUAGGGAUAGUUGGGGGCAUUAGUAUUCAAUUGUCAGAGGUGAAAUUCUUGGAUUUAUUGAAGACUAACUACUGCGAAAGCAUUUGCCAAGGAUGUUUUCAUUAAUCAAGAACGAAAGUUAGGGGAUCGAAGACGAUCAGAUACCGUCGUAGUCUUAACCAUAAACUAUGCCGACUAGGGAUCGGAUGAUGUUAAUUUUUUAAUGACUCAUUCGGCGCCUUACG